RNAcentral lists this unclassified non-coding RNA (160 nucleotides) under uncultured Ascomycota. RNAcentral's name for it is "sequence contains ITS2". The record is from RNAcentral. Lineage: Eukaryota; Fungi; Ascomycota.
AUGCAACCCCCCUCUCAGGCCCUAGGGGAGGGCGUCGGGGGACCGCGCCAGGCGGCCCCAGAGACCUAUCGGCGGCGGCGGCGCCCGGCCCCUGCGCAGUGACCUCUCGCAGUUGGGCCUGACGCCACGCCGGCCUAGCCACCAGGCCGAGAGGCCCAAG